Non-coding RNA from Meleagris gallopavo (turkey), 916 nucleotides. The record is from RefSeq and is a predicted model, not a curated record. Lineage: Eukaryota; Metazoa; Chordata; Aves; Galliformes; Phasianidae.
CAUUUCUCACAUAUAUGGCAAUACAUCCAAGUGGAUAUAGCAAUCUAUUCCACUAACACUGAAAAGGAUAUAUUUUAGUGUUCACUUUUAAAUGUACUCCUUCAGAGCUUUCUGACCAUACUAUGUAAAGUGCAUCACCUGGACAUUUCACUCCAGAGAAGAUGACAGUACUUCAGUCUUUUCAAAACAUCUCUGAAUUAUGUCAAGAAACAGUUCUGGUUCUGCUCAGUUAUGUUUUUCAGUCUCAUGGAUGAUAUCUAGUUGGUCUAUGAAUGCUGAUGAAAUAGAAAAGUGCAGUGUAUACCAUAAUUGCAGACAUUUGGAUCAGCACAUACAAUAACUGUUCUCAGAAUAUCUCCGAGAUUCACACUCCGCAAAACACUGCCGCUCUCUUGUAAACACAACUAACUCAAGGAAGAAUGUAUAAACUCUCCCUUCACUCAGCUUUGCCCUUCUUCUCUCUUUAGUAGAAGAAGAAUCUCCACUUAAUGCAGCUAUAUCUUUGGUGACUACACAUCUGCAGCCUUUCAAGAGACAGUUGUUCUCUCUGAGGCUCUUUUAGGUCUAAAAAAACACAGACUAUGAGCCAAAUCCUAUCUAAAUUGAAGCUUUCAUAUGAAGGUGGAAAAAGGUAUUCACCUGAUUCCCAGCAAUGAUAUUUCUAUAAUCUCUCUCUCAUUCUAGGAGCAGAACAUUCCUGCUGCAAUGCUGCCUCCAAGUCACCCCAACACAUGCCAAGCAAUUAUCACAUCCCAUUUCUGGAGGUUCCAGAGGCUUUCAGAAUUAUCCAGGAGGGUCAUGUGCUACAAAAGAUGUAGUCUACAGGCAUACAAUGACUGCUUUAAUGCAUUUCCCAUUAAAGCAAAAUUGAAAAGAAGAUUUUUGAAGUUUCCAUUAAAAUCUCUGAAGUCUCCUG